This 98-nucleotide ribosomal RNA is filed under the name Dasypus novemcinctus (nine-banded armadillo). Lineage: Eukaryota; Metazoa; Chordata; Mammalia; Cingulata; Dasypodidae. The record is from RNAcentral.
UUCUAUGGUCAAACCAUUCUGAACAGGCCUUCGAUCUCAUCUGUUCUAGGAACCUAAGCAGGGUUGGGCCUACUUAGUACUUCGGUAGGACACAAAAU